This 90-nucleotide ribosomal RNA is filed under the name uncultured bacterium. RNAcentral's name for it is "partial 16S ribosomal RNA". It matches the Rfam family "Bacterial small subunit ribosomal RNA", at positions 1393 to 1482 of the family's 1533-position model. The record is from RNAcentral.
CCCGUCACAUCACGAAAGUGGGCUGUACUAGAAAUCGUCGUGCCAACCGCAAGGAGGCAGACGCUCAAGGUAUGACUCAUGAUUGGGGUG